UGUUUCCGAAUGGAAGGAGGGUGUAUUGGGUUUGAACUCAAGGCGCAAUGAAGUAAAGAAUCCGCAAGGAUACGACGUGCCCAAAAGAACAAUCACGAUUGCCUGGAGCAACAUGGCCCCCCCCCUGGUCGCUUGCGACGGGGUGGAGGAAGAGCGUACGCGGUGAGACCCGAAAGAUGGUGAACUAUUCCUGAGCAGGCCCACCCAAAGCGAGACACCCCGGUGGAAGUCCGAAGCGAUUCUGACGUGCAAAUCGAUCGUCUGACUUGGGUAUAGGGGCGAAAGGACUAAUCGAACCAUCUAGUAGCUGGUUCCUUCCGAUU
This 323-nucleotide ribosomal RNA is filed under the name Pratylenchus penetrans. RNAcentral's name for it is "LSU rRNA". It matches the Rfam family "Eukaryotic large subunit ribosomal RNA", at positions 675 to 966 of the family's 3401-position model. The record is from RNAcentral. Lineage: Eukaryota; Metazoa; Nematoda; Chromadorea; Rhabditida; Pratylenchidae.